This 440-nucleotide ribosomal RNA is filed under the name uncultured bacterium. RNAcentral describes it as "partial 16S ribosomal RNA". It matches the Rfam family "Bacterial small subunit ribosomal RNA", at positions 338 to 795 of the family's 1533-position model. The record is from RNAcentral.
CCUACGGGAGGCAGCAGUAGGGAAUAUUGCUCAAUGGGGGAAACCCUGAAGCAGCAACGCCGCGUGGAGGAUGAAGGUUUUCGGAUUGUAAACUCCUUUUGUUAGAGAAGAUAAUGACGGUAUCUAACGAAUAAGCACCGGCUAACUCCGUGCCAGCAGCCGCGGUAAUACGGAGGGUGCAAGCGUUACUCGGAAUCACUGGGCGUAAAGAGCGCGUAGGCGGGAUAGCAAGUCAGAUGUGAAAUCCUAUGGCUUAACCAUAGAACUGCAUUUGAAAAUGUUAUUCUAGAGUAUGGGAGAGGUAGGUGGAAUUCUUGGUGUAGGGGUAAAAUGCGUAGAGAUCAAGAGGAAUACUCAUUGCGAAGGCGACCUGCUAGAACAUAACUGACGCUGAUGCGCGAAAGCGUGGGGAGCAAACAGGAUUAGAUACCCCAGUAGUC